CUUUGACGGGCAUGAUUUCUCCGGUCGGGACAGUGUUCUCGUCAACAGGAGUAAUAUGGUUUGCCCAAAGUUGAAUUGAAUGGUUGAGAACAUCCCCAGAGUUAUGCCCACCUAAGUUCCAGUAGGUGUGUUGAGCCAAGUUGAUUAUGGUGGGCUUGUUUUCAGGAAUUGCCUCCAUAUAAAGUUUCAUUGUUGUGCUUGAAGUGAGUGUGUAAGUUGCAGUAACAGAGACAGCUCCUGGGUAACCUUCCUCUCCAUCAGCACUAUGAUACUUGAAGGUGAUGGACGGAUUCUCCCCCUUUUUGUAUUCACUCACUUGCCAUACUUUCUUGUCAAAUCCUUUGUGACCACCAUGGAGACUGUUUGGAGGUUUGUUAAUAGGCAAAGAGUAUUGUUCCCCAUUGAGUGUGAACUUCCCAUCUUUGAUCCUGUUAGCGACUCGACCAACAAUGCAGCCAAAGUAAGGCGCAAGACCUUUCAAAUAUGGGUCGAGAGAAUCAAAUCCAAGGACUACAUCAGCCAAUUUUCCAUCUUUGCCUGGAACAGAG
Molecule: unclassified non-coding RNA, 548 nt
Filed under: Hevea brasiliensis (rubber tree)
Lineage: Eukaryota; Viridiplantae; Streptophyta; Magnoliopsida; Malpighiales; Euphorbiaceae
Source: RNAcentral